GAUGAACGCUAGCGGCAGGCCUAACACAUGCAAGUCGAGGGGUAGAAGGAGCUUGCUCCUUUGAGACCGGCGCACGGGUGCGUAACGCGUAUGCAAUCUACCUUGUACAGGGGAAUAGCCCAGAGAAAUUUGGAUUAAUGCCCCAUAGUAUAUAACCUUCGCAUGUUGGUUAUAUUAAAGUUCCAACGGUACAAGAUGAGCAUGCGUCCCAUUAGUUAGUUGGUAAGGUAACGGCUUACCAAGACGAUGAUGGGUAGGGGUCCUGAGAGGGAGAUCCCCCACACUGGUACUGAGACACGGACCAGACUCCUACGGGAGGCAGCAGUGAGGAAUAUUGGUCAAUGGUCGCAAGACUGAACCAGCCAUGCCGCGUGCAGGAAGACGGUCCUAUGGAUUGUAAACUGCUUUGAUACAGGAAGAAACCCUCCCACGUGUGGGAGCUUGACGGUACUGUAGGAAUAAGGAUCGGCUAGCUCCGUG
This 480-nucleotide ribosomal RNA is filed under the name uncultured bacterium. RNAcentral's name for it is "partial 16S ribosomal RNA". It matches the Rfam family "Bacterial small subunit ribosomal RNA", at positions 28 to 507 of the family's 1533-position model. The record is from RNAcentral.